This is a long non-coding RNA of Stegodyphus dumicola, 3088 nucleotides long. The record is from RefSeq and is a predicted model, not a curated record. NCBI's taxonomy places the organism in Eukaryota, Metazoa, Arthropoda, Arachnida, Araneae, Eresidae.
UUUUUAAUAUCAAAGCAUGAUAUUAAUUCUUCGUGUUCUUCUGAAUUUUGGAGAAACCUUCUGAAUUUGGGGGAGAAAUCUUCUGAAUUUUUAUCUUUAGAGGUUGGCAGGUAUGGAUUUACCACCAGAGUCUACCCUGGGGCAUCAUCGAAUAAAUCUAAAAAUGCUGUUACCAACUGUUCCAGGUUCAGUCUCUCAUGGGUCACUGGUGGCUGGACUUCUUUUCCCACCAGCUGAUUCAUUUCCAGUUGCAAAGUAUUUUCCUGAAAAUUAGUUUUUGCUCUUUCUGCCUUUAAAAUAUCCAUCCCCCAAUAUUACAUUAGCCUGUAGAUUUUUCACUGCAAAGAAAACAUCUUUCUGGUGUUCAUUUUUUACCUGCACAUAUAAAUGUUACUUUCUCUGUGCAUUUACACUGUUUACCUUAGGCCGCAAUCACUCCCGUUUGUGCGACGCCAAACACUAUUUACCAUUUAAAGUUUUUCCUCAAACUUUUUCUACCAGGAAAUUACUUUGUGACCUUGUGCUCAGUAAUGCAUCUGCUGGUACAUUAUUUAACAGAAUUUGAAUCACUGGGUGGGACAAAUUUUCUAUGAAUAGUGUAUUUAAUUGAAUUUGAAAGAAAUUAUUUUUCUCUCCGGGGUAGCUGUACUUUCUGUAUUUCAGUAUUCCUGACCAGUUUAAAGGCUUAGCACCUUCCCCCAGUUUCCUCUUUUGUGAUUUAUUUUGGUACCAGCCACUAGCAAAUGAAAGUUUCUUCUAGUUAUCAAAACAUCUGUUGCUAUCAAACCUUGGAUUUCCUUCUGCUACAGAUCUACAAAAAUGUCUGCUCAUAUCCUACUGUGCAUAUGCUCAUUGAUACUCACUUACUUUUGAAUUUCACUGCUAGCUCAUUUAAAUAUUCUAGUGUAUCCAAGUUCCAUAAUUCAACAUAAUCCUGAAUUUGAGACAAUAACCUUGGCAAUAAGAUUUGUAUGGUCUUUGCUUCAGAUUUCUUCCCAUAUAGUAUGGUAACUACUUGUAUAUUCCUCAAUAUAAACUCACUUAACUCUUUCACCUUAGUUAGAUAUAUCUUCCAAACAGUUCCGCUUCUGAUUUUACUCUUUCUUUCACCACUGGGGAAUGAUUUCUCAAAGGUGAUUUUAAAUAUUUUGAACCUUAGAUUCCCAGUGCCUGCAUCACUCAACAAAAAUUUACUGAUGCUUUUGUACCAACUCAGUUGCUGUCCUUGAAGCACUGCAGUUGCUAUUGUGACCUUAUGUAAUUUUGCAAUCAGGAAAAAGUAGAAAGUGCAUCUCUAAAUGUUCCAAAAAUGUCACUGACAAACUUCUAACAUCGAAUAUAAUGGCUGGUUUUAUCAAAGCUCACAUAGUGUCUAGGAUUAACCCAAAUCCUUCCAGACUUCCUGAUGGAGCCUGCAGUCUUCGGAGGGGACAGACUAAAUGUUCUUUGUUUUGUGAUGUGAUGCUUCAUUUUUUUUAGCAUCAUUUGGAGGGUUGUACUACUUGAUUUAUUAAUGGUAUUUUAGUGUAAUAGCUCUUACAGAGGCGAAGCAACCUAUCGCUACAUUUGGAAACAGUGACAAGUCUUGAGAAUGUGAAAAUAACUGUUUGAUUUAAACAAAAUUUAGAACAUAAGUCUUGUGCUACAAUUUCCAAAACUGUUGGGGAUUCAAAAUAAAAUAGAACAGUCCAAAUUAAAUCUAAUGUUGAAGAGCAGUCAAGGACUACACAAUUAAAUACUACUAGAGACUGUCUUAUUAACUCUACACGAGUUUUAGAAUCAAAGUACUGGCAGCAAGAAAUCAAAAAGCUGAAUAAGUGCAAAUAUUAGAGCUGACUUCAAACUAGCAUAUGGCGUAUAUGCGAUACCAGAAACACACUAUCUCAAAUUCCAAAACCUCAGUUUAGUACUCAUUACUGAUUUGUAUUCUUGUAAGGUUUACAUAAAGGUGAAGUUAUAGUAAAAAAGAUAUUAUAAAUAACUGAUUAAUUAACAUAAGAUACCUAAUGAUAUGAAAGAAAAAAAUGUUUUCAUCUGGGACAUAGAUGAAACAUAGAGAAACCUGAAAGAUUUAGGUUUUACAAUCCACCAUUUUCUUCUUUAACUCUUUCAUAUAUUAAUGAAAUUAAAUUAUGCAUAAAAAUCAUACAUUACAAGUAAGAGUAAAAACAUGAAAUGAUAGAAAUAUAUUAGCAAAGUUAUAAGCCGCCUUAAAUGUUUUGAAAUUCUUCAGAGUUUCUAUCAAGACUAGUAAGCUUCUAAUUUUUUAAGGAAUUGAAUCAGCAAAAUAGACUAGAAAUCAGAUAGAAAAUAAUUUUGACAGAAAAAAAAUUAAAGACUGUCUUGAAAUUACUAACAUUGGAAGUGAUAAAUGAAAUAGUGGUAUAGUUUAUAAUGUUUUUUCCUUGUAUAUUUAUAGACUGAUAUUAAGUCUGACUGAAAAGCAUAAAGAAGACAUACUGAUAAGAUAUUAAGUGAUUGAUAGGCAUUCACCUAUUGCAAAAUCUGAAAUUUGCGAAAUUUUGUGUACACCCUAAAUUUAAAAUAAUGCAUAUAGAUGUGUAAUUGUAUUUCAGAAGUGAUGCUUGUAAUUAAUUACACCGUUUGCUAAUUAGUUUAUCAUGCUGUAUUAAUGUGUUCUCUUUUUUGAUACUGUAGCUCUCUGAAAAGAAAAGAUUAAUUUGGAUUAUUGCCUGCAAAUUUUCCAGAUCACUGGUAUUUUGUGAAAGCUGGUCUGAUCAAGGUUUAGUGCAACAUGCAUGGUUUCAUAAUAUUCCCAAAUGAAGUUGGAUCCUUACUCAGUUAUUGAUUUUGAGUCUUUAGGUUUUCUAGUUUCAUAAUAUUCCCAAAUGAAGUUGGAUUAACUCAGCUUUGCUCAGUUAUUGAUUUUAUAUCUUUAGGAUUUUUAGUAAGUUUAUUUCUUUUAUUUCUUCCUUAAUUAAUUUUAUUAAACAAAGAAAUGUUUUGUCUCUGAUGUUGUGACAAGAAAAGAAAUUUAUAAGUAUGUAAAUGUAGUACAUUGCGAUUUGAAAAAAAAAGAUUUAAUUAAAUUGUCAGGUGUUAAAAGGUAUUAUGUGUAAAAAGUCAG